RNAcentral lists this ribosomal RNA (112 nucleotides) under Caerostris darwini. Lineage: Eukaryota; Metazoa; Arthropoda; Arachnida; Araneae; Araneidae. The record is from RNAcentral.
AACGGCCGUACCAUGCUGAAUAUACCGGUUCUCAUUAGAUCACCGAAGUCAAGCAUCAUUGGGCACGGUCAGUACUUGGGUGGGUGACCACCUGGGAUCACCGCGUGCCGUU